Non-coding RNA from Triticum aestivum (bread wheat), 115 nucleotides. The record is from Rfam. NCBI's taxonomy places the organism in Eukaryota, Viridiplantae, Streptophyta, Magnoliopsida, Poales, Poaceae.
CAUGUACUCCCUCCGUUCGGAAUUACUUGUCUCAGAAAUGGAUGUAUCUAGAACUAAAAUACGUAUAAAUACAUUCAUUUCUACGACAAGUAAUUUCGAACGGAGGGAGUAGUAG